This is a long non-coding RNA of Homo sapiens (human), 1211 nucleotides long. Ensembl annotates it as long intergenic non-protein coding RNA 1119. The record is from Ensembl. NCBI's taxonomy places the organism in Eukaryota, Metazoa, Chordata, Mammalia, Primates, Hominidae.
ACAUAAGUGUGAGUGACUCCUUACUGCCGUCCAGGCAGCCUGGGGGCUACGAGGGGCUUCAGAGGUCCUCAUCCCCAGCCUGUAGGCCUGGCCAUACUGGACCCAUGAGAUCAGCCACCCUGUCAGCUGGUACCUCGGGGUCCUACAGUCCUCCUCGCUCAAGCCCUGGUCCUCUAACUCGGAGGUGAUGAGGUGUUGGGCUGGAAGAGACAGGCAGCCAGAUGAUUCCAAUGUACAGCCAAUGAUGAGCAGCUGCUGGGCUGAAGGGACUGGGGCCAUUUUAUACCAGGAUGUUACACAGAAAUGCCUGAAAAGCAAGGAGCAGCUAUCAGAAUGUUUGGUGACACAGCUCCUCCUGUCGUGGUUCCUUCGGCAUGGACUUCACAUUCAGCAGAUCCAUGAGGUGUUCCCUUUCGGAUGAGCUCCAAGGUCUUAAGAGAGCAUCUCUAGUCUGCGUGAGUCCGUCUGAACGACGGUCCUGAGCAAGAACCACCUAUAACCAUCUGCUCAAAAUAACUCAGGGGAAGUCAAAGCUUUCUAUGUGGAAGGUGACUGAAACCACAUACACAGACCACUGCAGCAUUCCUGACAUUAUGGAACUUGGAAAUGAUUCCAAACAUGGCCAUAGCUUGAGUAACAUGUUUUGCUAUGACAAGAACUUGGACUGUAGUCCUUCCCCCUCUCAAGAAUGUGACAUCACACCUUAUCAGAUCCUACGAGUGAGCUACUGACCUCAACCACUGAACUUCAAACUAUGUAAAAACCUAAGGGUUCGACAGACACUUUGAGAGCUUGGGCUGUGGCAAGCUACACUCUGUCAGCCUCUCUUCGACAGGGCCCCACCCUGCUAGCCUUUGAACUUGGAAGCAUCGCCCACAAACACCAGUGCCACCCUCUAGCCUUGAGGGACCAUAUAUGUCUCUGUGAAUCUCCGUUGCAUUGGACAGCUUCUCUCCCAAGAGCUGCUCUUAUAAAAGAGACACACCACAUUUUAAUGAGGCUUCGCUCUCCACAGAGGCCUGCUUCCAUCCUAAUUGAGCAAGUAGACUUUAGUAACUUUGGAACUCACUCACCCCGUGACUAAUACACCCUGUCUACCCAGCGCAUUCCCUGUGAGAUUUGUUCAUGUUGUUCUCCCCCUCCUUAAGCAUUGUGAACCUAGGAAAAAUAUCAUCUCUGUAGGGCAAUAAACCAUGUGAUUUGUGAAAUCA